This is a long non-coding RNA of Papaver somniferum (opium poppy), 2010 nucleotides long. RefSeq lists it as uncharacterized. NCBI's taxonomy places the organism in Eukaryota, Viridiplantae, Streptophyta, Magnoliopsida, Ranunculales, Papaveraceae. The record is from RefSeq and is a predicted model, not a curated record. The transcript is spliced from 2 exons.
UCUCUUUAUCUCAGUUUCGAAGUAAUUUGUUGACGAAUCGUUUAAAUGAAAACUUACGUUCUUCAUCACUAUCCUGCAGAUUUCCUAUUGAAAACCAACUAGAUUGAAAACCUACGUUUCAACCCUAACCCUAGAUUUACUCGAACAGAUUUAAGGUUCCUGCUGCAGAAAUUGAAAGUUAGGGUUUGAGGUUAUGUUCUAAGAUGAACGCUGCUUUGCUGCACGAAUCAAGAUUGAAUGGGUUUGCAGAGAAUGAUGUUGGUGGUUGGAUUUGAGAUCGAAAGUUAGGGUUGGAUUUGAGAUUGAAAGUUAGGGUGGAAAACAUAGAAAUUGAAAGUUAGGGUUUGAUAUUUGUGGAGUUUGAAAGUUAGGGUUGGAUUUGAGUUUGAAAGUUGUGUGGAAAAGAUAAAAAUUUAAAGUUCGGAUUGGAUUCGAUAUUCUGAGAUUGAAUGGGUUUGCAGAGACUAAUGUUGGUGGUUGGAUUUGUGGAGUUUGAAGCUGCUUUAACUAGCUUGUGCAGAUGAUGAAGUGGUAUUGUCAUUUGAGAAUUGAAGCCUAUGCUGAGGAACUGAAUAUGGCAUUGUUGCUUGGUGUCGGUGCUGCUACUAAGUGGUGGUUGUGCAAUGGUUGGGACUGAUUUAGGAGACAAGGAUGAGAAGAUUCAGAAAUGCAAGUGGUGGUGUUGCUGGGAUUGCAAUGGUUGCACUGGAGUUGGAGAUGGCUGGCGUUUGUAUAGCAAUGCUUUGCAGGGAAUGUGUUGUGAGACAGUUGAGUGUUGGAAACGGUUAGCUUGUAGACUGUUGCCAUUGUUACUUCUUGUCUUUCUCUCCCUGUAGAAAAGGUGAUCCUCUUCAAACACCAAGUACACAACCUAUACCUCCUCCAAUGCUAAGUAUGUAUGAGGUGAUUUCCGUAUUACAGCUGCUUGACCGGUAUGUAUAUGAAUUUGUUCGUACUUUCAUAGACUGGAAAUGGGGCAUUCGUUUCAUAUUGCCCUUCAAUUGGUUAAGGUUCUUUUUUGACAAGUUCUUCAUUUUCCUUUAUGAAGACAGGUAACUCAUGUUGCACUUGUAUUUGAAGUUCACAGGGGUUGGAUUAACGAGAACGAUGCCAUGGAUGCUACUGUACUUCAGGUUCCGCAUUUUUUCUUUCACAUAUGACACCCUUCUUUUAUUUGUGUGAAUAUCAUUAAAGUAUUAUAUAUUAAUUUGUUUAGCUUCUCUUAGAAAGGGAUAGUUGGAUUUGAAUUUGGCUUAUAUCUGAUACUGAGUAGUUAUAAAAUCAAUUACACUAGGCUGAUUGCCGAGGAACCCAUAUAAAUGAUGAUUGAGACUAUAUUUCACAUCUGAAAAACAGUCAAGAAGGUGUUGUUAAUGAUGGGAUUGGGAGGAGAUUCCAAGUCCUAGUAAUGCAAUGAUAGAUUUGUUGUUAUUAAACUCGAAAUUGCAGGUGAAGAAAUUAAGAGAGGAGCUCAAUACAACCAGGGAAAACACACCUCUGGGCACCGGGAAAACUUCACAUCAAGGUGUUUGCUUAAAAUCCUGAAAGAAUAAAAAAAGAGUUUUGGCAUAAGCUUUAGAUCAGAGUUGGGGCUAUCGUGACUGCAUGCUGCUAGAUUCGAAGGCAAGUUUGUUUUGUUUUUGUGUCAGAGAUGGCUUAAUUAUAAUUUAAAAUUGGGUUUUGUAGCUAAUCCAUAUUCUUAAGAUUUAUCAUAGAAAUAAGCUCCUAGUUUCCGUGCAGUAUAUGGAUGUUUAAUCAUUGUUGGCAUUGUGGAAAUCUUGUGAGUAACCUAUAACAUCACAAGAGGUGAGGUCAGUGAUUAACCUAUUUCCGUCAUAUAUUAUUACCAUGCUCUGUUUUUCUUAUGAUCAAUAUUGUGGAAGUUGCUGCCAUAUGGUGUGUUAGUGUGUUUAAUGAUUGGUAGCACUUAGUUUUCUCUGUACGUUUGCUGAGAUGCAAAGACUACUCAAUUUUUGACCACUAUAUUAUGUUUAUCUAUCCACUUUUUAG